RNAcentral lists this long non-coding RNA (1260 nucleotides) under Oryctolagus cuniculus (rabbit). RNAcentral's name for it is "lncRNA (ENSOCUG00000030815.1)". The record is from RNAcentral. Lineage: Eukaryota; Metazoa; Chordata; Mammalia; Lagomorpha; Leporidae.
CCUACCCAGGGGACUUCUACACCUCCCAACAUGCAAAGGGAUGGUGACUGGCGAGCUGACGCUGGCCCGUGUGUCCAGCUGCGGGGGAUGGAAGAGUGUCAGGGUACCCGCACUCUAGGGUGUGGUGAGCCCAAGGUGGAGGGGCUUCCCAGGAGCCCGCUCUAACGGGAGGGGGCUGUAGGGCGCCCCCUGCAGGCACAGUUCCUUCUCUGCGUCCUGAAGGCACCACAGCCACCUUGGAGGGAGGAGCCCCAGGUGCCCCCUCAGCGCACCUGCUGUGCGUGGCUCUGUUGCCACCUGGCUCUGGUGACUUCGAGUGACUCAUGCUGCAGUCUCCUCAAUGUACCUGCCUCCCGGGCGACAUGGGCACCUGCAGACCGAGGAGGGGUCUGCCCGAGGUGAAGGUGGCGUGGGUUUGCCCCGAGGCAGGUCUGCAAGCAGGGGGAUGGCCUCAGUGCGCGGGUGUCACCUGCUCUGGGUGUCUCUGGGGGUGGAGGUGCUGAGUUCGUUUCCUGAGACAGGGAGAGCAACCCAGGGGUGCAGUGGUGACAGCAUUGCUGGGGUGGGGGUAGGGUGACCUCAACUCACCCCCCCAUGCCCAGCGAGUGAGCUGUGAUUGUGUGAGCAGUGUGGGAUACUGUGUUAAAGAGGGAGCACUCUGAGGGGUUCCCAGGGGGCUUGAAGCCCUGGCUCAGCUCACCCAAGACCCUCCAUUGUGAUCAGUGCCGCCCCCAGCGCCCCGACCUUCAGCCAGCUCUGAGAAAGCGAGGCUUGGUGCUUCCUUUAUUCCUGUGUCACUGUCCCCCUCCUGCUCCGCUGGCUCCCCCCCCACACACUUAAGUUCCUAUCUCAUUAUCAUUCUUUCAACAAACCUUAAACUAAAAAUAGCGAAGAGAUCACACAUUCUCUUCUUUAUUCCUAUCAAGGAGCUUAUCGUGUCCCUGUUCUCGGGAGGAGACACAGGCUCUGAGGGCUAGGGACUUGGCUGGGCUCGGCAUGCCUCCCUGCCUGCUGGGCACCAGGCCCUCGCCUGGGCUCCGGGCCACGAGGGUGAGGCAGAGCCAGGGCAGCCCACGGGGCUCACAGCCACAGGGAGGGACGGGCUGGGAGGGCGCCGGGUGCGUGGCUGAGCUCUGCACAAGGCCGUCCCAUCCACCUUCCUGCACGCCCUGCGGCGCCAGGGCUCGCAAGCAUGGAGCCCAGUGGGGCUUCUUCAGCAAUGAUGGGGUCCAGAGCUCUCAUUUAAAAAAAAAAGAUUUA